This is a long non-coding RNA of Cucumis melo (muskmelon), 722 nucleotides long. RefSeq lists it as uncharacterized. The transcript is spliced from 4 exons. The record is from RefSeq and is a predicted model, not a curated record. Lineage: Eukaryota; Viridiplantae; Streptophyta; Magnoliopsida; Cucurbitales; Cucurbitaceae.
UUAGAUGAUCCAACUCCUUAAUUAUUAUUAAUACAGAUGAUUUUUUUGUUAUUUAUUUAUUGUUUCAUUUGUGAAAAUUCCUGUAUUUCCUUUCAUAUAUGUUUGCUUUCAAAGAAGACCCAAUUUUUUCUCUCCACGCCUUCCCCAUGGACGAGUAAGUGAAUGCUAGAGUUGAAUUCCACAAUGAAAAGAGAAUAAGGUUCCAUUUUCUACUCCACCUUAAACCCAACCCAUCGUUACUCAACCUGUUGCAAAUAUGAGGAUGGUGCUAUUCACGCCUCUCUUGAAUCUGAUGCUUCCUGCCUGAGAUGAUAAACAAGUUGUUGUUUUAACUCAUGGAGAUCUACUUUCCUUUGCGGACCGUGUUCGUGUACAUGGUCAUUUAGGAAAUCUAUUAGGUAAGGGUAUGGCGAGGGGCAGACCGGGGAGGGGCAAGAAGGAUGCGUGAAGGCCAUGUGGACGCGUCUAGUUUCCUUAUGCUUCCGCUGACGUGUUUGUUAAUUUCUAUUUCUUUUGAGAAUUAAAUGGAGUCAUGGUUAGAACAUUUGAUUGGUUGUUUUGUUUUACUGAUUCUGUGAACUAUAUUUCGAAACUUUUGGAAACGUGAUUGAAAAUUAGAGCCCGAAACUAUUUUUGUGAUAUUGUGAACAUUUUUAAUGAAUCGUAAACAGGUCUAUUUAUGAGUUUAUGUGUUUUACUGUGAGUCUAGCCGUAAGUGAUGA